UACGUAGGGUGCGAGCGUUGUCCGGAAUUAUUGGGCGUAAAGAGCUCGUAGGCGGUUUGUCGCGUCUAUCGUGAAAACUGGAGGCUUAACUUUCAGCGUGCGGUGGAUACGGGCAGACUUGAGUUCGGUAGGGGAGACUGGAAUUCCUGGUGUAGCGGUGAAAUGCGCAGAUAUCAGGAGGAACACCGGUGGCGAAGGCGGCAUUCUGGACCGAUAUUGACGCUGAGGAGCGAAAGCCAGGGGAGCAAACGGG
RNAcentral lists this ribosomal RNA (253 nucleotides) under uncultured bacterium. RNAcentral describes it as "partial 16S ribosomal RNA". It matches the Rfam family "Bacterial small subunit ribosomal RNA", at positions 524 to 776 of the family's 1533-position model. The record is from RNAcentral.